RNAcentral lists this ribosomal RNA (253 nucleotides) under uncultured bacterium. RNAcentral describes it as "partial 16S ribosomal RNA". It matches the Rfam family "Bacterial small subunit ribosomal RNA", at positions 524 to 776 of the family's 1533-position model. The record is from RNAcentral.
UACAGAGGGGGCAAGCGUUGUUCGGAAUUAUUGGGCGUAAAGAGCUCGUAGGCGGUUUGUCGCGUCUGCUGUGAAAACUGGAGGCUCAACCUCCAGCCUGCAGUGGGUACGGGCAAACUAGAGUGCGGUAGGGGAGAUUGGAAUUCCUGGUGUAGCGGUGGAAUGCGCAGAUAUCAGGAGGAACACCGAUGGCGAAGGCAGAUCUCUGGGCCGUAACUGACGCUGAGGAGCGAAAGCAUGGGGAGCGAACAGG